This 1447-nucleotide ribosomal RNA is filed under the name Hafnia alvei. Its description in RNAcentral is "partial 23S ribosomal RNA". It matches the Rfam family "Bacterial large subunit ribosomal RNA", at positions 473 to 1933 of the family's 2925-position model. Lineage: Bacteria; Pseudomonadati; Pseudomonadota; Gammaproteobacteria; Enterobacterales; Hafniaceae. The record is from RNAcentral.
CUACCUGAUGACCGAUAGUGAAGCAGUACCGUGAGGGAAAGGUGAAAAGAACCCCGGGAGGGGAGUGAAAUAGAACCUGAAACCGUGUGCCUACAACCGGUCAAAGCCCCUUAUGAGGGUGAUGACGUGCUUUUUGUAGAACGAGCCAACGAGUUACGGUAUGUAGCAAGGUUAAGUACUUAAGGUACGGAGCCGAAGGGAAACCGAGUCUUAAUAGGGCGACUAGUUGCAUGCCGUAGACCCGAAACCGGGUGACCUAUCCAUGGCCAGGUUGAAGCGGGGGUAAAACCCCGUGGAGGACCGAACCACGUUGCUGUUGAAAAAGCAUGGGAUGAGCUGUGGAUAGCGGAGAAAUUCCAAUCGAACUCGGAGAUAGCUGGUUCUCCUCGAAAUAGCUUUAGGGCUAGCGUCGGAUAUGAGUAGUGGAGGUAGAGCACUGAAUGGGCUAGGGGGCAUAGCGCUUACCGAACCUUAUCAAACUCCGAAUGCCACAUACUAUUAGUCCGGCAGUCAGACUGCGAAAGAUAAGUUCCGUAGUCAAAAGGGAAACAGCCCAGAUCGUCAGCUAAGGUCCCAAAGUGUAAGUUAAGUGGAAAAGGAUGUGGGAUUUCUAAGACAACUAGGAUGUUGGCUUAGAAGCAGCCACUCAUUAAAAGAGUGCGUAAUAGCUCACUAGUCGAGAGAUCCUGCGCCGAAGAUGUCCGGGGCUCAAACUUACCACCGAAGCUACGGGUUCACACUUAUGUGUGAGCGGUAGAGGAGCGUCGUAAUCGGGCUGAAGUCGUACCGUAAGGAGCGGUGGACUGAUUACGAGUGAGAAUGUUGGCAUUAGUAGCGAGAUGUGGGUGAGAAUCCCACAGGCCGAAUAUCUAAGGUUUCCUCAGGAAGGUUCGUCCGCUGAGGGUUAGUCGGGACCUAAGCCGAGGCCGAAAGGCGUAGGCGAUGGACAAUCGGUUGAUAUUCCGAUACCACUACUGAUCGUUAUUAUCGAUGGUGUGACGGAGAAGGAUAGAGUGUGCUAGCUAUUGGAUGCUAGUCUAAGCGUUUAGGGAGUUAGGAAAGGCAAAUCCGUCCUAACAAUUCUGAGGCGUGAUGGGGAAGGUUCUACGGAACCGAAGUACUUGAUUCCAUGCUUCCAAGAAAAGCAUCUAGAGAGAGAUGUAGUGCCCGUACCGCAAACCGACACAGGUAGAUGAGGAGAGAAUCCUAAGGCCGGCGGAAGAAUCACAGUUAAGGAACUAGGCAAAUUGACCCCGUAACUUAGGGAGAAGGGGUGCCUGCGAGAGCAGGCCGCAGAGAAUAGGCCCAAGCAACUGUUUAGCAAAAACACAGGUCUCUGCUAAAGCGAAAGCUGAUGUAUAGGGGCUGACGCCUGCCCGGUGCUGGAAGGUUAAGGGGAACACUUAGCGCAAGCGAAGGUGUGAACUUAAGCCCCAGUAAACGGCGG